RNAcentral lists this ribosomal RNA (253 nucleotides) under uncultured bacterium. Its description in RNAcentral is "partial 16S ribosomal RNA". It matches the Rfam family "Bacterial small subunit ribosomal RNA", at positions 524 to 776 of the family's 1533-position model. The record is from RNAcentral.
UACGAAGGUCCCAAGCGUUAUCCGGAUUUAUUGGGUUUAAAGGGUGCGUAGGCGGGCUAUUAAGUCAGUGGUGAAAGCCCCAAGCUUAACUUGGGAACUGCCAUUGAUACUGAUGGUCUUGAGUACAUUUGAGGUGGGCGGAAUGUGUCAUGUAGCGGUGAAAUGCUUAGAUAUGACACAGAACACCGAUUGCGAAGGCAGCUCACUAAACUGUAACUGACGCUGAGGCGCGAAAGCCAGGGGAGCAAACGGG